RNAcentral lists this ribosomal RNA (253 nucleotides) under uncultured bacterium. Its description in RNAcentral is "partial 16S ribosomal RNA". It matches the Rfam family "Bacterial small subunit ribosomal RNA", at positions 524 to 776 of the family's 1533-position model. The record is from RNAcentral.
UACGUGAGGGGCGAACGUUGUUCGGGGUCACUGGGCUUAAAGGGUGCGUAGGCGGUCUGGAAAGUUGGGUGUGAAAUCCCUCGGCCUAACCGAGGAACUGCGCUUGAAACUACCAGACUCGAGGGAGAUAGAGGAAAGCGGAACUGAUGGUGGAGCGGUGAAAUGCGUUGAUAUCAUCAGGAACACCGGUGGCGAAGGCGGCUUUCUGGGUCUUACCUGACGCUGAGGAACGAAAGCCAGGGGAGCGAACGGG